Anolis carolinensis (green anole) is the source of this 795-nucleotide long non-coding RNA. RefSeq lists it as uncharacterized. The record is from RefSeq and is a predicted model, not a curated record. The transcript has 2 exons. NCBI's taxonomy places the organism in Eukaryota, Metazoa, Chordata, Lepidosauria, Squamata, Anolidae.
AUACGCUAUAGUAGGUUAGUGGGAUGGGGUGUACAAAAUGGAUGGAUUUAGAAAUUCUGUUUGCUACUUUUCAAAAUUUGAUCUAUCUUGAAUAUUGAGGUUUUUAAGGGUCUGUGCAUAUCUUCCUUCCAUAUUUUGUCUCAUGUGUGCAUUUUGUUUCGUUGUCCGUUUUUCGUAAUUUGCACAUAUAUUUUGGAAAAUAGUUUUCCUAACACAAGCAGUGUUUGGACAUUAUUUUAAUGAAGGUACACAUUUCCUUGAUUUCUCUACUUCUUUUUUAUUGGAGAACUCCACUGGAAAAUAUGGAGGGGAAGGAAAAACAACUGAAUUUCAGUUCACUUCUCAAUUUGAUCAGAUCUACCCAUCUAUCCAUAGUGCAUGUAUGUGCCUUCAAGACAGCCAUUGACGUAUGGCAUCUCCAUGAACUUCACAGGGUUUACUUAGGCCAGGAGUAUUCCGAGAUGUGUCUCCAGUUCCUUAUGGUUUAUAGCACCUAGUAUUCAUUGAUGAGUCUCUCAUCCAAGUACUAACCAGGGACCUAGGACCUUUAGUGUACUUAACCUUAGCACAUAGCAGCUUUCUGUACUCAUUCCUUUGAUAUUUACAUGUUGCACACACUUUUACCUAAUAUACUCAUAUGUAUUUGCACACAUAUACACUCCAAUGCUGACAUAGAAUCCAGCAUAUGACAAAGUGUGGUUUCUUUAAGCACAACUGUUCUGAACUGAAACAAAAUUCUUCUUUAUGUAUCACAUUCAAGGAUCAGGUUAGGUGUGCAUUAAAUUGUGAAAAGAG